RNAcentral lists this ribosomal RNA (301 nucleotides) under uncultured bacterium. Its description in RNAcentral is "partial 16S ribosomal RNA". It matches the Rfam family "Bacterial small subunit ribosomal RNA", at positions 509 to 808 of the family's 1533-position model. The record is from RNAcentral.
CAGUAGCCGCGGUAAUACGUAGGUCCCGAGCGUUGUCCGGAUUUAUUGGGCGUAAAGCGAGCGCAGGCGGUUAGAUAAGUCUGAAGUUAAAGGCUGUGGCUUAACCAUAGUACGCUUUGGAAACUGUUUAACUUGAGUGCAAGGGGGGAGAGUGAAAUUCCAUGUGUAGCGGUGAAAUGCGUAGAUAUAUGGAGGAACACCGGUGGCGAAAGCGGCUCUCUGGCUUGUAACUGACGCUGAGGCUCGAAAGCGUGGGGAGCAAACAGGAUUAGAUACCCGUGUAGUCCCUGUCUCUUAUACC